GCCCUCGUAGUUCAACGGAUAGAAUGCGUGGCUUCGAACCAUGAGAUGGGGGUUCGAUUCCCUCCGAGGGCA
Molecule: transfer RNA, 72 nt
Filed under: bacterium
Lineage: Bacteria
Description: tRNA-Arg
Rfam family: tRNA
About the family: Transfer RNA (tRNA) molecules are approximately 80 nucleotides in length. Their secondary structure includes four short double-helical elements and three loops (D, anti-codon, and T loops).
Source: RNAcentral